AGUGAACGCUGGCGGUAGGCCUAACACAUGCAAGUCGAACGGCAGCACAGUAAGAGCUUGCUCUUACGGGUGGCGAGUGGCGGACGGGUGAGGAAUACAUCGGAAUCUACUUUUUCGGGGGGGAUAACGUAGGGAAACUUACGCUAAUACCGCAUACGACCUACGGGUGAAAGCAGGGGAGCUUCGGACCUUGCGCGAUUGAAUGAGCCGAUGUCGGAUUAGCUAGUUGGCGGGGUAAAGGCCCACCAAGGCGACGAUCCGUAGCUGGUCUGAGAGGAUGAUCAGCCACACUGGAACUGAGACACGGUCCAGACUCCUACGGGAGGCAGCAGUGGGGAAUCUUGGACAAUGGGCGCAAGCCUGAUCCAGCCAUACCGCGUGGGUGAAGAAGGCCUUCGGGUUGUAAAGCCCUUUUGUUGGGAAAGAACAGCAGCAGGUUAAUCCCCCGCUGUUCUGACGGUACCCAAAGAAUAAGCACCGGCUAACUUCGUG
RNAcentral lists this ribosomal RNA (492 nucleotides) under uncultured bacterium. RNAcentral's name for it is "partial 16S ribosomal RNA". It matches the Rfam family "Bacterial small subunit ribosomal RNA", at positions 29 to 507 of the family's 1533-position model. The record is from RNAcentral.